This 253-nucleotide ribosomal RNA is filed under the name uncultured bacterium. RNAcentral's name for it is "partial 16S ribosomal RNA". It matches the Rfam family "Bacterial small subunit ribosomal RNA", at positions 524 to 776 of the family's 1533-position model. The record is from RNAcentral.
UACGAAGGGGGCUAGCGUUGCUCGGAAUCACUGGGCGUAAAGCGCACGUAGGCGGACUUUUAAGUCGGAGGUGAAAUCCUGGAGCUCAACUCCAGAACUGCCUUCGAUACUGAGAGUCUUCGAGUUCGGGAGAGGUGAGUGGAACUGCGAGUGUAGAGGUGAAAUUCGUAGAUAUUCGCAAGAACACCAGUGGCGAAGGCGGCUCACUGGCCCGAUACUGACGCUGAGGUGCGAAAGCGUGGGAGCAAACAGG